AAUGAACGUUGGCGGCGUGGAUUAGGCAUGCAAGUCGAGCGAGAACUUUUGAAAUUGACACUUCGGUUGACGUUUCAAAAGGGACAGCGGCGCAAGGGAGAGUAACGCGUAGUUACCUGCCCUAGGGUCCGGGAUAGCCGUGGGAAACCGUGGGUAAUACCGGAUGAUAUCUCCGGAUCAAAGGUGAGAUUCCGCCCUAGGAGGGGACUGCGCCCUACUAGCUUGUUGGUGGGGUAAUGGCCUACCAAGGCUUUGAUGGGUAGCGGGCGUGAGAGCGUGGCCCGUCUCACUGGGACUGAGACACUGCCCAGACACCUACGGGUGGCUGCAGUCGAGAAUCUUCGGCAAUGGGCGCAAGCCCGACCGAGCGACGCCGCGUGCGGGAUGAAGGCCUUCGGGUUGUAAACCGCUGUCAGUUGGGAGGAAGGCUCCGUGAAGAGCGGAGUUUGACCAAUCUUCAGAGGAAGACCGGGCUAAGUUCGUGCCAGCCGCCGCGGUAA
Molecule: ribosomal RNA, 500 nt
Filed under: uncultured bacterium
Lineage: Bacteria
Description: bacterial SSU rRNA
Rfam family: Bacterial small subunit ribosomal RNA
Source: RNAcentral